RNAcentral lists this ribosomal RNA (253 nucleotides) under uncultured bacterium. Its description in RNAcentral is "partial 16S ribosomal RNA". It matches the Rfam family "Bacterial small subunit ribosomal RNA", at positions 524 to 776 of the family's 1533-position model. The record is from RNAcentral.
UACGACGGGGGCUAGCGUUGCUCGGAAUCACUGGGCGUAAAGCGCACGUAGGCGGCUUUCUAAGUCAGGGGUGAAAUCCUGGAGCUCAACUCCAGAACUGCCUUUGAUACUGGGAAGCUCGAGUCCGGAAGAGGUGAGUGGAACUCCGAGUGUAGAGGUGAAAUUCGUAGAUAUUCGGAAGACCACCAGUGGCGAAGGCGGCUUGCCAGAAUGCGCUCGGCGGUGAGGGAUGAAAGCUGGGGGAGCAAACCGG